AAGGUGGCCUCAGAGGAGUUUGGAGUGUCCAGGGGAAGGAGAAGCGAAGAUAAGGAUACCUGGUGGUGGAAUGAUGAUGUCCAUAAGGCGAUUAAAGAGAAGAAAGAUUGCUUCAGACGCCUAUACCUGGAUAGGACUGCAGACAACAUAGAGAAGUACAAGAUGGCGAAGAAGGCCGCAAAGCGAGCUGUUGGUGAAGCAAGGGGUCGGGCAUAUGAGGACCUCUACCAACGGUUAGGCACGAAGGAAGGCGAAAGGGACAGCUAUAAGAUGGCCAAGAUCCGAGAGAGGAAGACGAGGGAUAUUGGCCAAGUCAAA
This 318-nucleotide ribosomal RNA is filed under the name Triticum aestivum (bread wheat). RNAcentral's name for it is "partial small subunit ribosomal RNA". The record is from RNAcentral. Lineage: Eukaryota; Viridiplantae; Streptophyta; Magnoliopsida; Poales; Poaceae.